CACUGUCACUGUUAGGAAUAAAAACUGUGCCUCACCUCAGAGACAGACAGGUAUCUGAGAUCUAAGCAACUGAACUGGGAUUCAAAUUGAAGUAGAAGCUGCAGCUGCAGAGAUGUACACUAUCAUGUCCAUCAAAGAUGCCAAGAUCUACGUUCUCUUACUGGUGUUCAUCAGCGUCUUUGUGGAGAAAGGCCAGUCAGACUUAUCAACAGAAAGUGUGAAAAAGAUUAUUGAAGACAUAAUAUACAAAAGGUUCAAGCCUGAAGAGUUGAAAAGAAUGAUAGCAAAGAAAGCAGAAGGCACAAGCGGAAGACAGCCCAAGUAAGAUCAUUUUGGUUUGUUUCUACUUUUAGCAACCAUGAGCUUCUAUCUCAUAAUCUGACAAUGUUUUUUACAAUGACUUUUCUUGUGGCUGAGCAAUCUGUAUCCUCAUAUUGUGCAAUCCCCUCCAACCCCUCUUUUACGCUACUGCUACUCUCUGUUCAUCAUAUAUGCAUAGUCACUUUAACAAUAUCUACAUGUACAUACUACCUCAAUCAACCUGACUAACCGGUGCCUGUAUAUAGCCUCGCUACUAUUAUAGCCUCGCUACUGCUAUAGCCUCGCUACUGUUAUUUUUUGCUGUCUUUUUACUGUUGUUUUUAUUUAUUAACUUACCUAUUGUUCACAUAAUACCUUUUAUGCACUGUUGGUUAGAGCCUGUAAGUAAGCAUUGCACUGUAAGGUCUACACCUGUUGUAUUCGGCGCACGUGACAAAUAAACUUUGAUUUGAUUUGAUUUGACUCCAUGGUUUAACCAACCCAGUAUUAGGAAUACGACAACCCUAUCCAGUAUUAGGAAUACGACAAUUCUGCAUGGAUCUACAUUUAUCACUGUUCUAUCUUUGAGUCUUCAUAAAAACAAUGUACAGUGUAGCUUCAAAAUAUAUUUUAAACGAUCUUGGCUUCUCUCAUGGACUGUAUUAUGUCUUAAAUGCUCAUUUAAAAUGUUUCCAUUUCGACCACUUGAUUUACUGUAUGUUUGGGUUUCUAAUACAAGCAGUUCACAAUGGCACUCACGCUUACAACAAAGGAAUGUGACAGUGGGGAGAUAGAGGCAAGACACAAUCUCCAACAGGUUAUGGACGACAUGGUAAAUGGUGCUGUGGGCAACAAUAAUUGGUUCACUGCAGCUAUUCCUGAGUUCAACAACGGUUAUGACAGCCAUUCAGAAUAUCGCGUACUGGAGAAACUGCAAUCCAAUUUAAAUAAAGAUUCUAAAAUAGAGUGUUUGAUACUCUACACACACAACAGUCCUUGUACUGAUAAAUGCCUGAAAGACAACCAUUUGUUCAACAUUAUCAAACAACUGAAAGAUGUUUUCUCAAAAGUAGAAUCAACAUAUAGUGCAUUAGUCUUCGACCAUAUUUAUAUUGUAGACAUUAACAAAAGUAGAGAGGACGUUUUUAAUUCCCUGAAAAACAUUCCUAUACCAACUUAUUGCUGCUACAAAGUUAUUGCGACAAAUACUGGAUAUUACUGUGCAUUGCUUGACACUAGCAAAGAUGCCACAUUUCAAAUAUGUUUAGAUGAGAUAUCAAAGUAAUGACACCAAUGAUAAACCCCUGAGAAAAAUGAAUAAAGAGCACAAUAGAUUUUUUCUGUUGUUACAAAAACAACAACAUCUAUACAAAUGUUUGGCUGUCAUCACUCAUCACUGAAUUGGGAUGCUAAUGUUAGCAGUACAUGAAUGUUGGUUGUAAUUAUUUAGGCUGUUCUGUAUCCCCCCAUUCUGUCGUUUCAAUGUGCUUUCUGUCUUCUGAAUAUUGAUAAACAUUCUGAAACUGUAUAAUGUAGUGUUUCAUUUCAAACUAUUUCUGCCUGAUGCCAGCAGAAAGUUGUUAGUCUGUUGUUUAUUAUACUGUAUAAAUCUGUUUCCACUCGCUUAUGAUAUCAUUACUGUGAUCUACAACUUUAUGACGUAUGAGUUAUUUGCUGUUAUUAAACCAUUCUCUCUUGGAUGUAA
Oncorhynchus tshawytscha (Chinook salmon) is the source of this 2005-nucleotide long non-coding RNA. The record is from Ensembl. Lineage: Eukaryota; Metazoa; Chordata; Actinopteri; Salmoniformes; Salmonidae.